Molecule: long non-coding RNA, 7522 nt
Filed under: Mytilus galloprovincialis (Mediterranean mussel)
Lineage: Eukaryota; Metazoa; Mollusca; Bivalvia; Mytilida; Mytilidae
Source: RNAcentral
GCAAGACAUAUCUCUGUGUCAACAGUUAAUUUUUUUAUUUGACUGUAUUUUAUUUCAUAUUUUGUUUUACUAAUGUAUUUCGUAAAUCAUUUAUAAUCUUCAUAGGUGCUCUCCAGAAUUCAAGAAAGAAAACUCUCGACUCAGUCCGAUAUAUGGAGUUAUGGGAUUGUGUUGUGGGAGAUAUUUUCGUAUGGGAAACAUCCAAACAUUUGUGGAACAGACACAGAGAUGAAUAAAAUUGCAGAGUUCAUUAUAAAUAAGGGAUGUCAUUUAGCUCAGCCAGAACAAUGCCCUGAUCAUGUAUAUCUACUAAUGAAAGAUUGUUGGCAAAUGGAACCAAAACAACGGCCAAGUUUUUCAGGAUUAGUUCAACAUUUCAGUAAGUUGAACACACCUUUUUACUCAGUUUUUUUUUUUCUAUCUGCACACAUAUAACCCAAAACUUCAAAAAAAACCUUAAACGAAUGUUCCAAGGUAUUGUUUAUAUGAUAUCUAAAAUGAUAAAAAAAAAAUGGCACGUCUAUACAACAAAAGAGUUCAACAGUUAAAUGUCUUUGUCUCUGUGGACGAACAGGAAUUGAAAAAAUAAAGGUUUACUGUUUUGAAGGUAUCUGCUGAACUGGUGUAAUAUCUUUAUGAAUUGUUCUUGAUAACAAAUUUUACUUUAAAUAGAAGGAAAAACAGUCUCAAAAAAUUUACAAUUGGAAGAAUUACAAGUUUUCAUUUCUGUUAUCAUGUGAAUGACUGCUAAGGGUGACUGGGGAAAAUAAAUAUGAUCACUUGGUCUUCUACCGACUGGCAGUAAAACGCUAGCCGAAGAGGGGUGUCCGUUUGGCUGUGCGGGAUGUAUUAAGUUCGCAGUCACGUCUGGUCAGAAUGGGGACAUUAAAUCCGAUGUCUCAUGUAAAGAGAGUGCCACAGUCUUUGCAUGUUAAGAAUCCUUGCAACAACUCUUUAAGGGCCUGUAGGUGGCAUUUUGCAAGGCAAAAUUGCUGUUCCUAUCUAAUAUACCCUCAGUUUUCAGUGGCAGUCUAAAUUUCCCCGACCUUCAUCCCUAAUGGCCUCUGUUAUGACAAGACCUACCUAUUGUAUUUAUUGUGAACUUGUUCUCGUCCUGAAUAUGCAUGAUUAUUUGCCCAAGAUCGCUUUUUCACGUUAUAGUUAAUUAUUUUAAAGUUCAACUCGUGAGAGUGAAAUUUGUUGUUCAAACAGAGCUAUUUGCAAUUAGAUGAUUGCCAAAAAUUACAAUUAUGAUACUUUAUAAUUAGCAUGGCUAGAAAAAUAAAAUUUUCUAGACAGUUAUGAUUCAGUUAUAAGGAACAGGUGAUCAAAUUAUAUUGAAUAAAAUGUAUUUGAAAGUCCUUACAUAAUGAGACAAUUAAUGUAAAAUCUUAAAGAAAAUGUGAGAGCUCUGCACACUGGGGUUUAAAAUUAAAAGAAAACACAAAAAGGCAAGGAACAAUCUUAAUUACACAAUGAACAGUUUCGCAUAACAAGCCAUUGUCAAUAUACAUACGAGACCAAUACAGUAUUAUUUACUUACACUAGUAUGUUCAAAAGUUAUAAUGUACAUAAAAGCUUCCUUCUAUUGAAAUUGUUAAACCUGGAUUUAUAGACCACCAGUAUAAAGAGACCACUUUUGCAUUCUCCCUUGAGUGGUCUGUUAAUACAGGUUUGACUGUAUUUGUAUUUCAUGCCAGUAAAGAAGUACUGGCUACUGGCCUAGACUGAUGAUACCCUAAGGGGCUAACAGUUCACUUAACUUUGAACAAUACAUUGUUAUAUUUCAUUACAGUUCGUAUGUUAGUCCAGUGAAUGAUGUCUAAACGGAGGUAAAAGCACCCAUGGCCAGUAGGGACAGAUACAAGGAAGACAAAGACCCAUAGAACAUAACAUUUGUACAUAGUAUAGAAACAAAUCAAGUUUAUUAUCAAGGCAACAACUUUCUAGUCCAAAAGUCAGAUUAUUUUUGUAUACAUUUGUAUGUUGUUUAAAUUUCUCUCUUGGUCCAAUUGAUGUGAGAAAAAAAAUUGAAAGAUAUUUUUAAAUUAUAAAUCAAAUUUCAAAUUUGGUUUUUCAUUCUACAUUUGUACAAAGAAUCAAUGUUUUGAAAUCUCCAGAUUGAGGUUAUAAAACAGAUUCAUUUCUGAUGGUAGUUUCUGUUUACAACAUGUUGUUUUAAAAACAUUUUUACCUCAAUGUACCACUUGAUUUGUUCUUAAGGAUCAAACAUCAUAUAUUUGUCUGUAAUAUUGACCUAAUAGUAAUAUGAUAUUUUUUUUUGUUUUUGUUUCUGUUAAUAUGAGGCUGACUUUAUGCAGGAACUUCUUAGGAAGAAAGAUAAGAAGUUAGCGUAAUCCUUUAACUCUACUUUCCGCUAUAUAGAUGAUGUUCUUUCACUAAAUAAUUCAAAAUUUGGGGACCAUGUGGAACGCAUCUUUUCAAACAAUUGCAGACUUUCCAUAGAGAUUUUUUAAAUGGAAAUAAGUUAACAGAUUUAUAUAUUGAUAUUAAUUUGCAUAUAGUUGAUUUCUAUAUGAUGUGACUCCUAUAUUUAUAUUCAUCAUCCAAUUAAAAAUAUUGUUACAGAUAGUUCAAGCAACCAAAUAAUUAUUAUUCACAUUUUGUUAGAUUUAUUCAUUGAACUUAUUUUUUAUUGUUGGCCAGUUGUUGAUUUCUGUAAAUUGUUUGGAGACUGUUUGCCAUAUCUGUUUUUCAUAUAUGUUUUUCUUGACUAAUGAUUUUUAUUGCUAUUUUGUGCAUUUUUCCUUUGAUCUUUUUUUGUGAUAUUUUUCAUAUCAUGCUACUAGCUUGAGAUGGAAAAAUAUCGCUAGAAACAGACACGUGCAUUGCUAACAAAAUUGACAUGAAAUUGACAACGUUGUCAUAGGUAAAAUAGCGAUAAACCGAUUAUCAUUGGUCAUCUCAACUCGAUUACCUUUCUCGCUUUCGCUGUCCUGGCUCAAGCGAGAAAAUCAAUCUCGUUGAGAUGAUCAACGAUAAUCUAUAAGUAUUGUCUCUGUUAUAUCUUUAUAUUUUUGAGAAGUGUUUUACUGACUGUUGAUUAACCUUUUGAGUUCUUUUUGUUGGACAAAUUGCUUUUAUGUGCCCUUUGUAUAUUCCCUUUUUUGUGAGAUAUAUAUUGCAGCCUCCGUAAUAAAGAAUUUCCGGACUAAAAAAAUGUACCACCUUCUUUUUAGCUGUUGUGCUGCAUCAUUUAUUGGAAUGUAGAGUUGAUCUUGAGCAAACUGCUCAAUGUUUUAACAAACCAAAGACAUAGUCACUAAUUAUAAAUUCUUUAGAUUGAAGUAUUUUUUUGUUAUUUUUUGUUAAUAUUGGUGUAAAAUUCAAGAAGAUUUUCAUAUUGUUAUGGUGUUGUAAUCUUUUUUAAAUCAACAAUGCUGAAAAUAAUGAUGUUCAUUUAUUCUCAUGUUUUCAAAGUUGUUUUCAUGUGUUUAUUAUUUAAGCUCUGGUCUAAUUGGAACACAUAUAAAUACAACAUUCUAUUCCUUUAACAUAAAUGUCUUUCUAAAUCAUCCCUAAUACUAAUACAUACAGUUUUGUCAUACAUUUUUUCACAUACUUCUACAAAAAUAUUUCUUGAAAAGUUUUACUAUAUAUGUAUUCUAGUCAUAUUAAAAUCGUAAAAAUUUGCAUUUGUGUUUAACCCAUUAGAUAAUGAAACCAAACCUCACCAAAAUUAUGGCCGAAUAAAAAAAAAAACUCAGACAUUUCUGCAUCUUAUGGUAUCUAUUUUAUAAAAAUCGCUCAUAGAUUUACUUGGUAAUAAUUUUUUGAAAAAAAAUGAUUUUAGUUGAAAUGGUAGGACAUUUUUUGAGUGAGAACUCACUUUUGUCGUAUGACUGUAUAGUUUGUUUUGAUGUUCACUAUAUAAUUAGCUACCAAUUAAUAAAAGAUCAGGAGAGUUAUUAUGUUUAUGAUUUUGUAUAUAAUGUAAAUAAUUGUAUUUAUGGUCAAUGGUUAUUUUAUUAGAUAACUUUGUGUAGAUAAUUACUUAUAAAUUAAUAGUUUUUCUUCUCAAGAUGGUGUUUCUGAUGUAGCCAAGAAGCAUCCUCGAGUUUGAAAGGCGACUUGAUUAUUUGAAAUACAUUGUUUUACUCAACAACAUAAAUGUCAGAAAUAGAUGAAGUUAUACAUUCCCUUUCUACUCCACUGUAUCACUGGAGUAGCAUGAGAUGGAAGUUGCAAUGUAUACAGAAAGAACAAUUAAAGGAAAAUUAAGAAAAUAGUUAUAAUGGAGAGUUGUCUCAUUGCAAUCCAUACCAUAUCUUCUUAUAUCUAUAAACUUUAAUUAUUGGAAUGUAGCUAAUAUGUUGAUAAAAGUGCCAUAUUUGUUAAAGAUAGACCUUAUUUGUGAGUCUGUGACACUCGACAUAAGUUUAGAACAUUUGAACUAUUCACAUUAUAAAACAACCACUUUUCCUUUGUUGUGUAAGAUAUAUUCUGUAGUGAUGUCUUAAUUUUCAGGAAAUGCUGCAAUGACAGAUAAAUAGUGAUAAGGUGUGUUUAUCUUGCUAUAAUAUGAUAUUUAUUCAUUAUUUUUGUUAGAUUUACAUUUGCUCAUUUAAUUUUUUUUUUGGUCAUGUUAUUCAUUAUAUAUUUACAUAUAAUAUGAUAUAUUUGCUACUGGACAAACCACCAAUAUUCUAUUGUAGCUGUAUUGAUACAAAUGCAAACAAUCUUUAUGGGUCAAUCAGUCCUGUCACCUGUAUAAUGUUGUGUGUCCAAUGUUGAUAAAAAUUAAGAUAGGUGUACAUAUUUGAGGUCCAAGUGCAACCAUAAUGUAAGAACUUAUUAUUCUUCAACAGUUAUGCACACUCUAUCAACAAUAACUCUACUGACAUAGCUAUCUUAAUGAAGGUCCCCGUUUUAUUAGUACAAGAAGUUGAGAGAAUCUUUAGUUGAAUAAACUACAUAUUGUUAAUUUUUAAUAAAAAAGUAUAAUAUGACAUAAAUACAUAAAUAUUCUUCUUAUUUUGAUGUAUCUAUAUCAUCUUUUAUUUUUGAAACUAAAAGAGUAUCCAAACUUAAUCUGAAAUUAAGAUUUAUGUUAAAAUUCUCAUGUGUAAAUAACUAUUAUCAUAUUUCAUGUUUCUGGUGAACACACGUUUGAAUGGGUUUACGCUAGUAAUUUUGGGGCCCUUUAUAGCUUGUUGUUCGGUGUGAGCCAAGGCUCCGUGUUGAAGGCCAUCCAUUGGCCUAUAAUUGUUUACUUUUAUAAAUUGUUAUUUGGAUGGAGAGUUGUCUCAUAGGCACUCAUACCACAUCUAUCUAUAUCUAUUAUCAUAUUUCAUGUUUCCAGUGAACACAUUAGUUUUAAGUCAAUUAUUGAAUAGAUUGUACAGUAUAUUAGCUUUCAGAUUAUUAUUCAGGAAAGUCAAUUAUAAUUUGAAGGAUUGUAAAUAAAACUGUUUGUGUUGUGUCCAUAUAAAAAUACCGGUAUUUUACAUGUUUAAAAAUUCUCUAAGCUACACUAUGCCAUCUCCAUUCUUACCAUUUAUUAUAAACUGCUAUUCAUUUAGUUUGGGGAUUGGAAGUAAAAAUCAUUAUUAUACUGUAAAUUCAGAAACUAUUGCAUGCAUUGAUUAUUGCGAUUUUGUCAUGUUAGGCUUAAAUGCGAUUUUAAUUUUUACGAUUUUUGGAAAAAUCCUGCUUAGUUUAUAUAAAAUCAAAAUAAAAAAUGCGAGUUUGAAUUAUUUCGUUCACAACUCUGUCGCGAUUUUCACAAUAAUAAAAACCUCGCAAUAAUUUUUGAAUUUACAGUAGUGCUGUUGAUUUACAUUUCAAAAAUUAUUCUUUUGAAAAGAUACUAUCAAAAUAAACUGGUAUAUAAUGAUUACAAAUUUAAUGUGAUAUAUGAGUGGUUCUCAGCAAAGCAUACACUGUAAAAUUUGGGAUUAUUACAGAAUUUUAAAACUCAAGAUCUGUCUUGUUGUUUAAGCUUGGAGCAUCACUGAAGGGACAUAUGUGAUCUAAAUGGACAUCUAGUGGAGUAAAAUUGAUGCCAUAUCUUUAAUAUGUGAUUCUAUUUAAUGUAGACUAUAUGCCUUCAAAACAUUUAAAAAGUGGAUUUACUUCAUAUGUAUAAGAAACUUAAAGACUCAAUAACAUGAUGGUUGGUUAAACCUGAUCCCUUUUUCGUCCUUUAUCCAGAUUUUUCAUAAAAUGUUCAACUUUUCAAAGGGUAUCAUUUUUUUCAAAUUUGUAUAUUUGAUUAGCAAAAAGUAUGUUGAUAAAUAAAACAAACAUGCAUAAAUAAUCUGUCAGAGCGCAUUAGGUACCACCUGCCUCUUAUUAUUUCAAUAGCAUGUUUCAAACAUUCACAUUACCGAUUUUAAGGAUUAUAUCCCAUGACCCAGGUCUACCCCUUAAGGGCAUACGAUACAGUUACAAGGCAGGUAAUGACGUUGCUAACGUAAAUUGUUAUCUUUGCGACAUCAAACUGACUUAUCGGGAAAUGAUUCAGUUUUCGACUGAUUUUUAUCGUUCAAACUGAAUUAUCUUAAAAAUGAGUUCAUGGACCCCUCUUUUUUAAAAUGGAUUGAUUACGGGAGAAGAUUAUGUGUGCCAUUUUUCAUGAAAACGUAAAUGGUGCAAUUUUUUUAAAUUUGAUAAAUAUACAGAAAAAAAUGAUGUUUUUUUCUACAUUCAUGAAAAUUUGAUAAAUAUGAGUUAUUUCUGAAUCAAAAAUGUAUGAAUUUUUAGAAUACUUAUAAAAAACAGAAAUUGCAAAUUAUUUAACAAAAAACAAUUUGUGUUUAUCUUUUUAAACAAAAAAGUUAUGACAUUUUUCCGAAAGGGGAAAAUACGGCCACAAAUCCAAAUUUUUAGCAAAUAUUCAAAAUUUCAACCUCAUUUUACUCAAAAAGUAGCGCAUGAAGGUAUAUUUUUUAUUACAUAUUUGAUUAUCAGGUAAAAAUAGUCUUAUAUUGAAAUUUUUAUCAAAAUGUAUAUACUGGAUCAAAACUGUAUAGUAUGCCCUUAAAUUUUAAUUCAAUUGGAUUUUAUUUUUACCAUCUUUUAAUUCAAAUGAUAUUUUUAUUUUAUUGCUUCCCCGUCUCUUACCAAUUAUUUAACUAUUGGUCUGAUAUACACUUUUAUGUUGUUUCAGUAAGAUUUUUAAAUUAAAAUAUAUUUUCAUAUUUUUUAUAAAAAAUCAUCAUCUUUGUAUAAUGUUCAAUUCAUUGUUUUAUGUAACAAAUCACAUAAAAAAUAUACUUAUAUUAUAUAUGGUUAUACAGUAACUGUAAUUUCAGAAAAAAAUGUGUGCAUUUAUUAUUAAAAAAUCCUUGAGUGCUGGCAAAAAUCAUAAAAUGGAAAUAAUGAUAUUUCCAAACUUUGAUGAAGGUUGAUUAUUUUAGAAUUUAUGGACACAAUUUAUUAUUGCGAAUCAAUAAAAACUUUUUAAUAAUUUCUGAAGUGACAGUUUACAGUAUAUUUAUCAGAAUCUUUUUAAUAUACCUUUGUUUUUGUUGCUGAGAUAUUAAUAAACGAUAAACCA